CAGUAGUCAACAUUGGCACUCAGGACUUAAUUGAAGGAAGAGUAAGUUGGUUCAACUUUUGCAUGCAUAUAUUGUGUAUUUUUAGUUUGAGCUAUAAAUCCAAAAGUUGAUUAAUUCCAAUGCUUUUCUGCAGCCUCAUUUGGUUAUGGGGUUGAUAAAUCAAAUAAUAAAGAUCCAACUAUUGGUCGAUCUCAAUCUCAGGAAGACACCACAGCUUGUUGAAUUGGUGGAAGACAACAAUGAUGUCGAGGAACUUAUGGGGUUAGGCCCGGAGAAGCC
Impatiens glandulifera is the source of this 279-nucleotide long non-coding RNA. RefSeq lists it as uncharacterized. Lineage: Eukaryota; Viridiplantae; Streptophyta; Magnoliopsida; Ericales; Balsaminaceae. The record is from RefSeq and is a predicted model, not a curated record. The transcript is spliced from 3 exons.